CGCACAUUGCGCCCUUUGGUAUUCCGAAGGGCAUGCCUGUUCGAGCGUCAUUAUCACCCCUCAAGCCCUCGGCUUGGUGUUGGACGGUUUGGUGGAGACCCCCCCUUCGCGGGCUUCUACCCCUCCCAAAGACAAUGACGGCGGCCUCGUUGGACCCCCGGUACACUGAGUUCUUCACGGGACACGUAUCGGAUUACAUGGGUUUGCGGGACACGGUCUGCCUCCCCUCAGGGAGAAUCUCUUUUAUCAAGGUUGACCUCGGAUCAGGUAGGGAUACCCGCUGAACUUAA
RNAcentral lists this unclassified non-coding RNA (290 nucleotides) under Exophiala bonariae. RNAcentral describes it as "partial contains 5.8S ribosomal RNA, internal transcribed spacer 2, and large subunit ribosomal RNA". Lineage: Eukaryota; Fungi; Ascomycota; Eurotiomycetes; Chaetothyriales; Herpotrichiellaceae. The record is from RNAcentral.